Pelodiscus sinensis (Chinese soft-shelled turtle) is the source of this 610-nucleotide non-coding RNA. The record is from RefSeq and is a predicted model, not a curated record. NCBI's taxonomy places the organism in Eukaryota, Metazoa, Chordata, Testudines, Trionychidae.
GUGUUGCUAAUCGGCACAGAGAGAUCUGAAUUGAAUCCUCCAGAGAGAUGCAUUGGAAAGUUUUCUGCAGGUACUUGUUAAUUCUCUGCUACAGGUUCCAUGGCAGUGCAGCUGUGUCCCAUCCCCUUCCGCCAUCACUUAUGCAGGGACAAAAAUGGAAUAUAGUGGGGCUCUUGAGUUCGAGACACGCACCCCAGCAGAAUAGCUCCAGCAGACAAGAAAGAGGCCAAGAUGCCGCAGAGAGGAUAUGGUUAGGGAGGUGAUACAACACUCCUCUGCAGUGUCAAGGAGAUGAGAGGAGCACUAGGAAGCAGAAAAGGCAGAAAAAUCAAGUUUUUGCUCAAGACACCACUGACGAGAUGAUAAAGCUUGUGUCUCUCAUGAACAGAGGUUUUAAUUUACUAAAAUGUUGCCCACUCACAAAUCCUGGUCAAAUUCAAGAUCCAGUCUGUCUAAUAAAAGUCAUGUACUGAAGUUUAUGCACAGACAUGUGUUAUUGAUUGGUUGGAAAGUUGCCCAUCAGCCUCUGUAAUUAUAGAAUCCCAAUUGUAUUGUAACUUUUGGGCAAACAUUGCCAAAUUAUUGAUCUUUUUAUAACAAUAUAUAUACU